Molecule: ribosomal RNA, 513 nt
Filed under: uncultured bacterium
Lineage: Bacteria
Description: partial 16S ribosomal RNA
Rfam family: Bacterial small subunit ribosomal RNA
Source: RNAcentral
GAUGAACGCUGGCGGCGUGCCUAAUACAUGCAAGUCGAGCGAACAGAUAAGGAGCUUGCUCCUUUGACGUUAGCGGCGGACGGGUGAGUAACACGUGGGUAACCUACCUAUAAGACUGGAAUAACUUCGGGAAACCGAAGCUAACGCCGGAUAACAUGUAGAACCGCAUGGUUCUACAGUGAAAGAUGGUUUUGCUAUCACUUAUAGAUGGACCCGCGCCGUAUUAGCUAGUUGGUAAGGUAACGGCUUACCAAGGCAACGAUACGUAGCCGACCUGAGAGGGUGAUCGGCCACACUGGAACUGAGACACGGUCCAGACUCCUACGGGAGGCAGCAGUAGGGAAUCUUCCGCAAUGGGCGAAAGCCUGACGGAGCAACGCCGCGUGAGUGAUGAAGGUCUUCGGAUCGUAAAGCUCUGUUAUUAGGGAAGAACAAGUGCGUAAGUAACUGUGCGCACCUUGACGGUACCUAAUCAGAAAGCCACGGCUAACUACGUGCCAGCAGCCGCCGUAA